UACGUAGGGUGCGAGCGUUGUCCGGAAUUACUGGGCGUAAAGAGCUCGUAGGUGGUUUGUCGCGUUGUUCGUGAAAACUCACAGCUUAACUGUGGGCGUGCGGGCGAUACGGGCAGACUGGAGUACUGCAGGGGAGACUGGAAUUCCUGGUGUAGCGGUGGAAUGCGCAGAUAUCGGGAAGAACACCUAUGGCGAAGGCAGCUCUCUGGGACGGUACUGACGCUGAGACGCGAAAGCGUGGGGAGCGAACAGG
Molecule: ribosomal RNA, 253 nt
Filed under: uncultured bacterium
Lineage: Bacteria
Description: partial 16S ribosomal RNA
Rfam family: Bacterial small subunit ribosomal RNA
Source: RNAcentral